RNAcentral lists this ribosomal RNA (571 nucleotides) under uncultured bacterium. RNAcentral describes it as "bacterial SSU rRNA". It matches the Rfam family "Bacterial small subunit ribosomal RNA", at positions 35 to 590 of the family's 1533-position model. The record is from RNAcentral.
GCUGGCGGCGUGCUUAACACAUGCAAGUCAAGGGGAAAGCAGUCUUCGGAUUGUAAGUAUACUGGCGGACGGGUGAGUAACGCGUAGGCAACCUGCCCUUGUGUUUGGGAUAACUCCGAGAAAUCGGGGCUAAUACCGAAUGACGUUAUAUAAUCGCAUGGUUAUAUAAUUAAAGGUGUCGCAAGUUAUUGCACAGGGAUGGGCCUGCGUUCCAUUAGCUAGUUGGUAGGGUAACAGCCUACCAAGGCGACGAUGGAUAGCUGAUCUGAGAGGGUGAUCAGCCACACUGGGACUGAGAUACGGCCCAGACUCCUACGGGAGGCAGCAGUGAGGAAUAUUGCGCAAUGGAGGAAACUCUGACGCAGCAACGCCGCGUGGGGGAUGAAGCACUAUGGUGUGUAAACCUCUGUAGGUUGGGAAGAACGACAUAUAUUCGUAAGGGUAUGUGUAUGACGGUACCAUCAAAGUAAGCUCCGGCUAACUCCGUGCCAGCAGCCGCGGUAAUACGGGGGGAGCGAGCGUUGUCCGGAAUUACUGGGCGUAAAGGGCGUGUAGGUGGUUAGAUAAGUCA